Molecule: ribosomal RNA, 250 nt
Filed under: uncultured bacterium
Lineage: Bacteria
Description: partial 16S ribosomal RNA
Rfam family: Bacterial small subunit ribosomal RNA
Source: RNAcentral
UACGGAGGGUGCAAGCGUUGCUCGGAAUCACUGGGCGUAAAGCGUACGCAGGCGGUCUAUUAAGUCGGGUGUGAAAGCCCAGGGCUCAACCCUGGAACUGCAUUCGAAACUGGUAGACUUGAGUACGGGAGAGGAGAGCGGAAUUCCUGGUGUAGAGGUGAAAUUCGUAGAUAUCAGGAGGAACACCUGUGGCGAAAGCGGCUCUCUGGCCCGAUACUGACGCUCAUGUACGAAAGCGUGGGGAGCAAAC